Molecule: long non-coding RNA, 413 nt
Organism: Mauremys mutica (yellowpond turtle)
Lineage: Eukaryota; Metazoa; Chordata; Testudines; Geoemydidae
Exons: 4
Source: RefSeq, a predicted model, not a curated record
CCAAGGCUGGUGAGAGCCAAGGAGUGGCUGGCUGGCUGCAGCAACACAGACCUAGCUAGGAGUGAUUUGCAUGCGGGAGGCCGUUUGGACCGCCAGCGACUCAGAGGACGAGGAGGAAUGGCUCGAUGUGGUCACAGAGGAGGCUGCUCUCGAAAACAUCAGAGAGCAGCUCCAUGGCCGAGAAAAGAAUUCAGCCAAAUUCCUCAGGAUGGGUCACCACGUGGCACAGCUGGCUCUGUUCAUCGGUGACCCAGCCAAGGCAUCAGCCAUCAGGCCAGGGAGGGGGUUUACCGGCUCUACCAGCUGCUGCUGCACCAGAAGGGCCUGACCAUCCAUGAGUUUGAAGACCUGUGGAUCUGGGACUGGCACCAGGACAGCAGGCUCCUGGGGUACAAAAACACAGCCAGGGUCGA